This is a non-coding RNA of Trichonephila clavipes, 526 nucleotides long. The record is from the annotation of a GenBank genome assembly. Lineage: Eukaryota; Metazoa; Arthropoda; Arachnida; Araneae; Nephilidae.
AAUUUUAGCUCUGGUAGCGUAUACUAAAUUUGUUGCAGUUAAAAAGCUCGUAGUUGGAUUCCUGCUCUGGACGUAGGGGGCCGCUAACGCGGUCCACCAUGCGCACCCGGCAUUCUUCCCGCCACUCCUAGGAUCGUUGUAAAAGGCGGUCUUAGGGUGGAUGGCGGAGAUCUCUUUGCAAAAAUUAGAGUGCUCUAGGCGGACUACGAAGCUCUAAUAGUAAUGCACGGUACGAUGAAACAUGAUUUUGGCUCUUAUUCGGUUGGGGCACGGAGACCGAGAUAAUGAUUAAUAGGAGCAGACGGGGGCAUUCGUAUUCCGACGCUAGAGGUGAAAUUCUUGGACCGUCGGAAGACGUAUCACUGCGAAAGCAUUUGCCAAGAAUGUUUCCGUUGACCAAGAACGAAAGUGUGGGGCUCAAAGAAGAUUAGAUACCUUUGUAGUCUUGUACCCUAAACGAUACCCGCCAGCGAUCCGGCUACGUACGAACGUGACGCGCCGGGCAGCUCUUCCGUGGAAACCAGAA